This 394-nucleotide ribosomal RNA is filed under the name uncultured Gammaproteobacteria bacterium. Its description in RNAcentral is "bacterial SSU rRNA". It matches the Rfam family "Bacterial small subunit ribosomal RNA", at positions 370 to 779 of the family's 1533-position model. The record is from RNAcentral. Lineage: Bacteria; Pseudomonadati; Pseudomonadota; Gammaproteobacteria.
AAUGGGCGAAAGCCUGACGGAGCAACGCCGCGUGAGGGAUGAAGGCCUCUAGGCUGUAAACCUCUUUUAUCAAGGAAGAAGAUCUGACGGUACUUGAUGAAUAAGCCACGGCUAAUUCCGUGCCAGCAGCCGCGGUAAUACGGGAGUGGCAAGCGUUAUCCGGAAUUAUUGGGCGUAAAGCGUCCGCAGGCGGCCCUUCAAGUCUGCUGUUAAAAAGUGGAGCUUAACUCCAUCAUGGCAGUGGAAACUGUUGGGCUUGAGUGUGGUAGGGGCAGAGGGAAUUCCCGGUGUAGCGGUGAAAUGCGUAGAUAUCGGGAAGAACACCAGUGGCGAAGGCGCUCUGCUGGGCCAUCACUGACGCUCAUGGACGAAAGCCAGGGGAGCGAAAGGGAUU